GCAGAGACUAGCUCUCGUACCUUUUGCAUCAUGAUUUAGCCAGUAACACCCAAGCAAAGAGCACUUUAGUUUGUGACCCCGAAACUAAGUGAGCUACUCCAGGACAGCCUAUUAACAGGGCAAACCCGUCUCUGUGGCAAAAGAGUGGGAAGAGCCUCGAGUAGAGGUGACAGACCUAUCGAACUUAGUUAUAGCUGGUUGUCUAGGAACUGAAUAGAAGUUCAGCCUCCUGGCUUCUUCCCAAACCAAGAGAGUUAAUUAAAGGGGGUACAGCCCCUUUAAAACAAGACACAACUUUAUCAGAUGGGUAAAGAUCAUACUUCACCAAGGCAAAGUGUUCUAGUGGGCCUAAAAGCAGCCACCCAAUAGAAAGCGUUAAAGCUCAGACACCCAAUCCCGAUAACAAUUCUUAACCCCCUAAUCCUACUAGACCGCCCCAUGCCAAGCAUGGGAGAGAUUAUGCUAAUAUGAGUAAUAAGAGAGGGCCCUCUCCUAGCACAAGUGUAAAUCGGAACGAACCCCCACCGAACAUUACCGGCCCCAACCCAAGAGGGCAAUGAGAAAAAACCAGAAAACUCCCCACCGUUACCCCCACACUGGUGUGCACCCAAGGAAAGACCAAAAGAAAAAGAAGGAACUCGGCAAACUAGCCUCGCCUGUUUACCAAAAACAUCGCCUCUUGCACAAAUAAGAGGUCACGCCUGCCCUGUGACAGAUAGUUUAACGGCCGCGGUAUUUUGACCGUGCAAAGGUAGCGCAAUCACUUGUCUUUUAAAUGAAGACCUGUAUGAAUGGCACGACGAGGGCUUGACUGUCUCCUUUUUCAAGUCAAUGAAAUUGAUCUCCCCGUGCAGAAGCGGGGAUAGACCCAUAAGACGAGAAGACCCUAUGGAGCUUCAGACACAAAAGUAGAUCUUGUUAAACCCCCUAAAACAAAAGACUAAACCAAAAGAACCCUACCCUAAUGUCUUUGGUUGGGGCGACCGCGGGGAAAAAACUAACCCCCAUGUGGAAUAAGAGAACUCUUACAAACAAGAGCCACAGCUCCAGUUAACAGAAAAUCUGACCUUAAGAUCCGGCAAUGCCGAUCAACGGACCGAGUUACCCUAGGGAUAACAGCGCAAUCUCCUUUUAGAGCCCAUAUCGACAAGGAGGUUUACGACCUCGAUGUUGGAUCAGGACAUCCUAAUGGUGCAG
RNAcentral lists this ribosomal RNA (1197 nucleotides) under Ctenopoma acutirostre (spotted ctenopoma). RNAcentral describes it as "partial 16S ribosomal RNA". It matches the Rfam family "Bacterial large subunit ribosomal RNA", at positions 585 to 2558 of the family's 2925-position model. The record is from RNAcentral. Lineage: Eukaryota; Metazoa; Chordata; Actinopteri; Anabantiformes; Anabantidae.